Molecule: small nuclear RNA, 164 nt
Organism: Delphinapterus leucas (beluga whale)
Lineage: Eukaryota; Metazoa; Chordata; Mammalia; Artiodactyla; Monodontidae
Gene: U1
Rfam family: U1 spliceosomal RNA
About the family: U1 is a small nuclear RNA (snRNA) component of the spliceosome (involved in pre-mRNA splicing). Its 5' end forms complementary base pairs with the 5' splice junction, thus defining the 5' donor site of an intron.
Source: Ensembl
AUGCUUACCUGGCAGAGGAGAUACCAUGAUCAGGAAAAUGGUUUUCUCAGGGCGAGGCUUAUUCAUUGCACUUUGGGUUUGCUGAUCCCUGCGAUUUCCCCAAAUGUAGGAAACUCGACUGCAAAAUUUGUGAUAGUGGGGGACUCCGUUCGCGCUGUUCCCUG